UUGGGAUUUUCGGCUGUUGCUUGGGGCAUCGGUGGUAGUCGGAAUCGGGCGUGCGGCGGCGGGUGCGCGCGCGCGGAGCGGCGGAGAGCGGAGGGCGGGAGGCGCCGAGGCGUAGGGCGGUAGCGUGCCCAGGCAGAGGAACCGGAGGAGCGAGCGACGGGCGUGGCGGCGUGCGGGCACCGGCCGCGCGGAGCAGGCUGCAGCGGAGCUAGAAAAUUAGUUAUCAGGGUCACCGGAUCAGAAUACAAAUUUUUAGUAUUAUCUUUUGGCAGAGGUCAUCGGGUCGGCUUACACUGUAGCUCCGUCCCUGGGCUGCAGGCGAGGAGGUCGUCGGGGCGUGGCGGCGUGCGGGCACCGGCCGCGGGGAGCAGGCUGCAGGCGAGGAGGUCGUCGGGGCAGGGCAGCGCCGGCAUCGGGCGUCCCUCGGCGGCUCGGCCAGGCCGGUCCGGGGAGGCGGGGACCUGGGCGGGGCGGCAGCGGCGGGAGCUCGGCAAGGUUGGAGAAGGUUCCCUAGCCAUCCGGGUCCGAGCUUCUGAUAUAUCUUUGGAAGUUGGAGCCUUCUCUCGAUGAGCCACUGGCGAUGGCCACGGCGAGAACUUGUCGUACUUCGACGUGGGAAGGCCUACGGCACGAACCCAUUCGACCUGCGGCAUAACCGUGGCGGUGUCAUCCAGAUUGGUCUCUCCAAGAACCAGCUUUCUCUGGACCUGAUUGAGGAAUGGAGCAAGACCACCCCGAGGCAUCCAUUUGCACACCGGCAGGCAGGUUUGAUAAUUGAGAACAAUAGAAGAUGGAUAAGAAAGGCAAGGGAAAGGCGACAUAACAAAGAGGCCGCUACCUCCAUGGGCCAUGGAGCAAUGGGCCUAGCAGCGGAGGCAGUGCUCGCCCUUCGCGCCGCCGACCCGCUUCCCAUGCUCCGCCGCCGCCACGACGCGCUCCCACCACGCCUCUUCGCGCAGCUCCACGCACUCCUCCUCACCGCCGGGCUCGCGCACCACUCCCCAAACUUGUCCCUCCUCCUCCGCCUCGCCUCCCCGGCCCUCUCCGUCUCCCACCGCCUCCACCUCCUCCUCUGCUCCCCGCUCCCACCCACCACCUUUCUCGCCAACUCCCUCCUUGCCGCCUCCUCCCCACGCUGCUUCCCCUCCUCACUCUCCCUCUACUCUCUCCUCUUCCUCUCCUCUACCAUGCCGCCGCCACCGCUCCUCCGCCCAAACGCCUUCACCUACCCGCUGCUCUUUCGCGCCGCGCCCCCGGCCGUUGCCUUCGCGCUCGCCACCCAUUCGGUCAAAUUCCUCGGCACCCAUGCUGCCUCCUACGACCGCUUCCUCGGGGCCGCACUGCUCGACGUCUUCGCCCGCUGUGGCAGGAUUGCCUCGUGCCGCCGAGUGUUCGACCGGAUCGCUCGCCCUGACCUACCGGCCUGGAACGCACUACUCUCCGCCUACGCGCGUUGUGCUUCGUCUGCUGCAGAUACUAUCCUUGAGCUCUUUGCACGGAUGCUUUCCCUAGCAACCAUCAGGCCCAAUGAGAUCACUCUCGUCGCUGUCAUUGGCGCGUGUGGUGAGCUCGGCGCUCUCGGCCACGGCAUAUGGGCGCACACUUAUCUCGUGAAGCGCCAGCUUGCUAUCAACUGCAUCAUGACUACUGCGCUUGUUGAGAUGUACGCCAGGUGUGGGAGGCUGGACCUAGCCGAGCAUGUCUUUGCCACUACUUCGGACAGAGACACGCGUUGUUACAAUGCGAUGCUCCAAGGUUUGGCCGCCCACGGUCAUGGUCGUGCUGCCCUUGCCCUGUUCGAUAGAAUGCGUGGCUCAGGCAUGCUAGUGGAUGGCGUCACUGUUCUGUCCGUGUUGUGUUCUUGUGCCCAUGCUGGAUUGGUGGAUGAAGGGUUGGAGUACUUUGACAAAAUGGAGAUCGAAUUCGGGAUUGAGCCAAGGAUUGAGCACUACGGAUGCGUGGUUGACAUGCUGAGCCGAGCAGGUCGACUUGACGAUGCUGAGAAGCUGAUCCAUGAAAUGCCCAUUGCGCCAAAUGCUGCAAUAUACAGAUCUUUGAUCCGGGCCUGUGGCAUUCAUGGCAAGCUGGAGUUCGGCGAGAGGAUGAUCACUGAAUUGAGGCGACUUGACUUGAAAGACAGUGGAAACCAUGUCCUGAUUGCCAACUUGUAUGCUAGAAUGAACCGAUGGGAGGAAGCCAAGAAGGCAAGGAAGGAGAUGAAGUCCAUGGGCAUUGACAAGAGCCCCGGAUCAAGCCUUCUGGACAUGAAUGGAAUUCUCCAUGAGUUCUUGGUGGGUGACAAGAGGCAUCCUGCCGCAAAGGAGAUAUACACCAUGGUUGAAGAGAUCGAGACCAGAUUAAGUGAACAUGGGCACCGGUCAAACACCACAUCUGUGUUGUUUGAUGUCGAAGAGGAGGACAAGGCGGAUACACUGACCUACCACAGCGAGAGGCUCGCCAUUGCCUUUGCUCUUAUUGCUUCCAAUCCAGGAACCCCCAUCAGGAUCAUCAAGAACCUCCGGGUGUGUGCCGACUGCCAUGAGAGCGCAAAGCUUGUCUCUCAGGUGUAUGGUAGAGAGAUUGUCAUGAGGGACCGCACCCGGUUCCAUCACUUCAGAGAAGGGGAGUGUUCUUGUGGAGAUUUCUGGUAAUUGCCUCAAGUUUUAUAAUGCUAUAAGGGAGGCCUAUCAAGACAUUCAAAUGAUUUCAAAUUGUGAUGCUUCAUCAAGACCACUUAACCAUCCUUCUGAUUUAUAUGAUUUCCGUGUGUAUACUGAUUUCGAUGAAGAAUACAUUUGACAGAUCAUCUCGUAAUGGGCCCAAGGCUUUUGUUAGUGAAUAUGUCGUAUGGAGAAGUGAUGCAGGUAGAGGAAGUCUUCUUGCAUCUUUGGCAGAGGCUGCUUUCCUUACUGGACUGGAGAAGAAUAGGUGAUCUUUCCUUGAAACAAUGUUAUUAUUUCUCCCUGGAUAUCACGCUUGAGCUUUCCUAGAUAGAUCUUUAUUAAGAUCUACUAACAAAUGCAAGAUCUUUACGGUGAGUUAGGUAACCUCUUGUUGGCUCUUUGCAGUGAUAUUACUCAGAUGGCAAGUUAUACGAGUAAUACAUAAGAUGUGAUAUGCGAAUACGAGUAAUAUAUAAGAUGUGAUGCGAAUUCGAGCCAGCUGUCUAUAUAUAUGCUUGUAUCUUGAAGCACUACUGCAUAGUGUAACUCAUAGAAAAUGAUGAAUAAAAUUCACAUCAGGCUUA
Molecule: RNA transcript, 3247 nt
Organism: Oryza brachyantha (malo sina)
Lineage: Eukaryota; Viridiplantae; Streptophyta; Magnoliopsida; Poales; Poaceae
Gene name: pentatricopeptide repeat-containing protein At5g43790-like
Exons: 8
Source: RefSeq, a predicted model, not a curated record